GGCGUCGGUGACGGGAACAAUCACGAACCCCAAAAGAAUCUCGUCUGUUAAGUUCUUAAAUAACUCCCUCCUGGCCGUCGCAGGAGAUGAUGAGAUCGUGAGGUUGUGUGAAUUGGAAAAACUGAAAUGCGUGUGUGAGUUCAAGGCUCAUGAAACCAGGGUGAAAGCAGUGGACAGUUUUAUGAUGGAGGAUUACUGAUUGUUGGUGACGGC
Molecule: long non-coding RNA, 213 nt
Organism: Limanda limanda (common dab)
Lineage: Eukaryota; Metazoa; Chordata; Actinopteri; Pleuronectiformes; Pleuronectidae
Exons: 3
Source: RefSeq, a predicted model, not a curated record